This 630-nucleotide unclassified non-coding RNA is filed under the name Hevea brasiliensis (rubber tree). Lineage: Eukaryota; Viridiplantae; Streptophyta; Magnoliopsida; Malpighiales; Euphorbiaceae. The record is from RNAcentral.
CAUUAGCCACCUGAAGGAUGCUAGAGUUCAAACAUAAUUUCUCCUAGAACACAAUGGAACUACAUGCGUUCGUUUCAAUGCAUCAUUUUGACAAAGCAUUCAAUAAUUCAAAACAGGAAUAGAACAUCAGAUUUUAGCCAAAAAUAAAACUUACAAGUCUACUAGAGGUUCAAAUUCAGCUUAUAAAAAAAAUGCAAUGAAGAAGCAACAACAAAACAAAUCUCUGGUACCAACAGAAGAAAAGACUUGCUACUUAAACGAAAAUUGAUGGCUUCUCUUCUUUCAGCACUUCCUUAAAAUAUGUGCAUAUAUAUAGAGCCUUAAGCACGAACCCCUCUGUUGAGACUAACCAUGCGGUUAGAAACAUCUAAUUGAGAUCCCCUCACUGCAGUUCUUCCAGACCCACUAUAUGCAGCAUCUUGAUAUCGUGACCCACCAGGAUAUCCACCAGCACGCGACCCUCUCGAAUAACCACCACCAGCACCUUGGCCUAAUGCCGGUGGUCUCCCACCACCAACAUUAUACCCUGAACGCCCUGAGCCUUGCCUUCCGUGAGUGAAAGAAAAAUUGUCUUGCCACUUGCCACCUGCAGCAGCCAUGGUAGCAUAAUCCUGGCUAUCUUUCCGCCUC